This is an unclassified non-coding RNA of Callithrix jacchus (white-tufted-ear marmoset), 148 nucleotides long. It matches the Rfam family "Metazoan signal recognition particle RNA". From Rfam's summary of the family: The signal recognition particle (SRP) is a universally conserved ribonucleoprotein. The record is from Ensembl. NCBI's taxonomy places the organism in Eukaryota, Metazoa, Chordata, Mammalia, Primates, Cebidae.
GCUGGGCAUGGUGGCGCAUGCCUGUAAUCCCAGCUACUCCGGAGGCUGAGGCAGGAGAAUUGCCUGAACCCAGGAGGCAGAGGUUGCAGUGAGCCGAGAUCACACCACUGCACUCCUGCCUGGGCAACAGAGCAAAACUCUGCCUCAA